GAUGAACGCUGGCGGCGUGCCUAAUACAUGCAAGUCGAGCGAACAGACGAGGAGCUUGCUCCUCUGACGUUAGCGGCGGACGGGUGAGUAACACGUGGAUAACCUACCUAUAAGACUGGGAUAACUUCGGGAAACCGGAUCUAAUACCGGAUAAUAUAUUGAACCGCAUGGUUCAAUAGUGAAAGACGGUUUUGCUGUCACUUAUAGAUGGAUCCGCGCCGCAUUAGCUAGUUGGUAAGGUAACGGCUUACCAAGGCAACGAUGCGUAGCCGACCUGAGAGGGGGAUCGGCCACACUGGAACGGAGACACGGUCCAGACUCCUAAGGGAGGCAGCAGUAGGGAAUCUUCCGCAAUGGGCGAAAGCCUGACGGAGCAACGGCGCGUGAGUGAUGGAGGUCUUCGGAUCGUAAAACUCUGUUAUUAGGGAAGAACCAAUGUGUAAGUAACUAUGCACGUCUUGACGGUAACUAAUCAGAAAGCCACGGCUAACUACGUG
This 497-nucleotide ribosomal RNA is filed under the name uncultured bacterium. RNAcentral describes it as "partial 16S ribosomal RNA". It matches the Rfam family "Bacterial small subunit ribosomal RNA", at positions 28 to 507 of the family's 1533-position model. The record is from RNAcentral.